This 433-nucleotide ribosomal RNA is filed under the name uncultured bacterium. Its description in RNAcentral is "partial 16S ribosomal RNA". It matches the Rfam family "Bacterial small subunit ribosomal RNA", at positions 29 to 507 of the family's 1533-position model. The record is from RNAcentral.
AGCGAACGCUGGCGGCAGGCCUAACACAUGCAAGUCGAACGGAUCCUUCGGGAUUAGUGGCGGACGGGUGAGUAACACGUGGGAACGUGCCCUUUGGUUCGGCACAACUCAGGGAAACUUGAGCUAAUACCGGAUGUGCCCUUCGGGGGAAAGAUUUAUCGCCAUUGGAGCGGCCCGCGUCUGAUUAGCUAGUUGGUGAGGUAACGGCCCACCAAGGCGACGAUCAGUAGCUGGUCUGAGAGGAUGAUCAGCCACACUGGGACUGAGACACGGCCCAGACUCCUACGGGAGGCAGCAGUGGGGAAUCUUGCGCAAUGGGCGAAAGCCUGACGCAGCCAUGCCGCGUGAAUGAUGAAGGUCUUAGGAUUGUAAAAUUCUUUCAGCGGGGACGAUAAUGACGGUACCCGCAGAAGAAGCGCCGGCUAACUUCGUG